This 74-nucleotide transfer RNA is filed under the name Treponema sp. JC4. It matches the Rfam family "tRNA". Rfam says of the family: Transfer RNA (tRNA) molecules are approximately 80 nucleotides in length. Their secondary structure includes four short double-helical elements and three loops (D, anti-codon, and T loops). Further hydrogen bonds mediate the characteristic L-shaped molecular structure. tRNAs have two regions of fundamental functional importance: the anti-codon, which is responsible for specific mRNA codon recognition, and the 3' end, to which the tRNAs corresponding amino acid is attached (by aminoacyl-tRNA synthetases). tRNAs cope with the degeneracy of the genetic code in two manners: having more than one tRNA (with a specific anti-codon) for a particular amino acid; and 'wobble' base-pairing, i.e. permitting non-standard base-pairing at the 3rd anti-codon position. The record is from Rfam by way of RNAcentral. Lineage: Bacteria; Pseudomonadati; Spirochaetota; Spirochaetia; Treponematales; Treponemataceae.
GAACUGGUACCCAAGAGGCCGAAGGGGGUAGUCUGCAAAACUACUAGUCGUGGGUUCGAAUCCCAUCCAGUUCU